CUGGCAUAAAUGUUCUAAAUCCUUCUCCGUCACAAGAUUGACAACAUUAGAUUGUUCUUCAUUCUGCUGUGAUGGGCUGCAAUUUUCAUAUUCUGAAAUGGAUAGUGAGGUUGAUUUUUUGUCUGCAGGAUUAUCAACAUGACAUGGUUCAUCCUUUUUUGAACUGAUCAUGAAUGAGUUACAACAUGAAGCCGAAGCAAAACCCUUUAGUGGAGAUGAAGGCAACGACAAAUCCAAGAAUUUUGAUACAUGAAAAGUUAAUUUGUCUCCUCUAAUG
Molecule: unclassified non-coding RNA, 277 nt
Filed under: Hevea brasiliensis (rubber tree)
Lineage: Eukaryota; Viridiplantae; Streptophyta; Magnoliopsida; Malpighiales; Euphorbiaceae
Source: RNAcentral